Molecule: ribosomal RNA, 825 nt
Filed under: Parazoanthidae environmental sample
Lineage: Eukaryota; Metazoa; Cnidaria; Anthozoa; Zoantharia; Parazoanthidae
Description: eukaryotic LSU rRNA
Rfam family: 5.8S ribosomal RNA (bases 197-348)
Source: RNAcentral
CAUUACCACAUCCAAAAAACUAUCCACCCACUUGUGUGCACUGUUUUCUUUGGUCUGCUGCCAGGCGCUGUUUGGGUUUUUGAAAGAAAACCCAAAAAAAACGACUGGCUGCGGGCCGAGGGACUUGUUCAAAAAACCACUUGUAAAACCCUUUUUUAAUCACAAUUAAAACCAAACAAAACGAAACUUGAGAGACAACUUUUAACGAUGGAUCUCUUGGCUCGUGCAUCGAUGAAGAACGCAGCAAGCUGCGAUACGUAAUGUGAAUUGCAGAAUUCAGUGAAUCAUCGAAUCUUUGAACGCAAAUGGCGCUGGCGAGAGAUCGCCAGCAUGCCUGUCUGAGUGUCAUUUUCUCCAUCUUGGUGCACUCGUCCGCUCGCUGCUCUUCGGAGGAGCCGGGCUGGCGCGCACACCAGUGUUGAGGUUGUCACGCCGAACGCUCGUGCUGUCAAACGUCUUCGGACGGGCGACAAACAUGAGCGCAAGGCGCGUCCCUUGAAACAUGGCGACGGCAUGAACUCGAAACUGCCUCGUGUAGUUUCUUCGCUCACCGCCUGAACGCAUUCCAAACUCGCCACUGCAAAACUCCUAUAUUUUUUUAACCGGCUCGGUUGUAAAGAAUGUUUUUGCGUGUGUCAUUAGAAGGUCUCUGACCCUUUAAUAUCAUGCCGAAGCAAGCUGUACAGCCGGUCGAUUAGAGCGUAGGCAAGGGCCGCAGCGACGGGGUGUUCAAGCGGGAAGAAACAACAUCGCGAGCGCAAAACCGAGUCUGUGCUUCCAAAAGUCUACCGAACUAAACAUUCAACUUUUGACCUCAGAUCAGAC